Syngnathus acus (greater pipefish) is the source of this 1122-nucleotide long non-coding RNA. RefSeq lists it as uncharacterized. Lineage: Eukaryota; Metazoa; Chordata; Actinopteri; Syngnathiformes; Syngnathidae. The transcript is spliced from 3 exons. The record is from RefSeq and is a predicted model, not a curated record.
ACAUUUACAAAUCAGAAUCUCAAAUUCUCAGAGUGAAAUCUGCUGGAUAGUGAAACAACAUAGUUGAAUGACAACAGGUCACUUGUUAGUCAGGGUUAGCCAUCUUCUGGAAGAGCAUUCUGUUCCUAUCACUACAGGCUGCUGCUUCGAUUAGAUCGGGAAAAAAUAGACUAAUAAGUAAAUGAUUUUCUGUCCAAUUAAAUGAAAUUGAGUAAUUUCCUGCAACCAACCUGAUGGCACUUUCAUGUAAAUAACGACAUGAUUAAAGUGCAUUUCAGAGUCUUAAAUCUAAGAAGGACCAAAGUGAAAUGAGGCUACAUUUAGAAAACAUCAAAAUUUCAUACUUUAAAUGAACUCUUGACUUUGUGUCCCUGUUUUAAAAAUAGUUAAAAUCCCAUGUUAUUUAUCUUUCCUGUAAUUAAAUUUUUUCAUACCUAAUGCACAUUUGAAUUUCAUAUCAAUAUGUUUCAUUUUAAUUUUUAAGCCACUAGUUGAGAAGCACUUCUGUCUUGGGGGGGGGGGGGGAAACAAGAGGAAUAAUAAACAGAAACUUGAUGUUGAGUUGCUAGAUCUAUCAUGUGUCAUCUCAGGUGCCAGUGUCCAAACAUUAGACACUCUGCCUUACAUCAAAUUGCAUCGUCACCACAAAACAAAAGUCUUGAAUAGAGACACUUGUACUUUUCCACUUGAAGCGCACGGUUAUACUUGUGAACACUAAGGCGCACUUAAUGUCGACAAACACGAGCCUGUGCAGAAUCAUUCGAGUUCUUCAACUUUUUGGUACAAUAUUCUGCUCCAAGGUUCAGUCCAUAGACAUAUAAGGAUUCUAUAGCCACCUUUUUCUUAAAAUGAAUGCAGUGGUUCUCAAAAGUUUGUUUUUUUACACUACCACAUAAAAAAAAAAAAAAAUAUUUGCUAAUACCACCAUUAUUAACAGAGGUUGUGUUCGUAACACGAUUCAUUAAAGGUUAAAUACAACUGAGUUGUACUGAGGCAGUGAUUGUUGUCUGCCACACUUUGAGGAUCGCUGCAUUGAUUUGAACAGAAUAUUAACCUUGGGAAUCUCUGAGCUGUGUCAGAUAUAUGUAAGUAUGUGUUUGUGUGCGUGCUAAACUUGAUUAA